Molecule: long non-coding RNA, 1751 nt
Filed under: Sus scrofa (pig)
Lineage: Eukaryota; Metazoa; Chordata; Mammalia; Artiodactyla; Suidae
Description: lncRNA (ENSSSCG00050044998.1)
Source: RNAcentral
UUUUUUUUUUUUUUAGGGCCGCCCCUGUGGCAUAUGGAGGUUCCCAGGCUAGGGGUCGAAUUGGAGCUGUAGCUGUUGACCUAUGCCACAGCCACAACCACAUGGGAUCUGAGCCCCAUCUGUGACCUACACCACCACUCACGGCAAUGCCGGAUCCUUAACCUAUUGAGCGAGGCCAGGAAUCAAACCUGCAACCUCAUGUGGGUUAACGAUCCAGUGUUGCCGUAAGCUGUGGUGUAGGUUGCAGACACAGCUCGGAUCCUGCGUUGCUGUGGCUGUGGUGUAGGCUGGUGGCUACAGCUCCAAUUGGACCCCUAGCCUGGGAACCUCCAUAUGCCACGGGAGCAGCCCAUGAAAUGGCAAAAAAAAAAAAAAAAAAAAAGAGUUGAUUCCCCAUCAGAAUUUUUAAGUCAAACAAACCCGAGGUCAAAUCCAAGCUCUGACAACUACUAACCACAUAACACCAGACAAGUUAGUCUCAGUCUCCCAUGUGUAAAAUAUCACUGUUUUUCACAAGACUGCUAUAAAUGCACAUGUAAAAGGCGUUCUAUAAAUGAUAAUCCUCUCCAACAUGAUUAAUGAUUUCUAAAAUUAGCAUUAUCUAUGCUAAAGUCAUCUUAAAAGUAAGCAAAGUAGCUAGCAUUUUCCCUGAAUCUCAAUACAUACAAAUGUGGGAGUUCCCUGGUGGUUCAACGGGUUAAGGAUUUGGCAUUGUCACUGCAGAAGCUCGGGUCACUGCUAUGGUGUAGGUUCAAUCCCUGGCCUGGGAAUUUCUAUAUGCCUUGGGGGUGGCUAAAAAGAAAAAGAAAAAAAUAUACGCGUGCACACACACACACACAUAUAUAUUAUUUUUAUAUAAUAAAAAAUAAAUAUAUGUAAAUACGUACAUAUAUCAAUGAGUCUGCCAAAUAAAUACAAAGAAAGUCACUAGUCAUCCUUUUAACCGAUCUACCGUCCUCCCUUUCUCUAAAAGUAGACAACAGACAAAAAGCAAUAAAGUUAGCCUUCCUUACUACAAAUGUAACUAUGUCAAAGCUGCUGCUUGAUGCGGACUUCAAAAUCUGCAGGAGUUCCUGUUGGGGCUCAGUGGUUAACGAAUCCAACUAGGAACCAUGAGGUUGUGGGUUCGAUCCCUGGCCUCGCUUAGUGGGUUAAGGAUCCAGCAUUGCUGUGAGCUGUGGUGUAGGUCGAAGACAUGGCUUGGAUCUGGUGUUGCUGUGGCUGUGGUGUAGGCCAGAGGCUAUAGCUCCGAUUGGACCUGUAGCCUGGGAACAUCCAUAUGCCACAAGUGUGGCCCUAAAAAGAGAAAAAAAAAAAAAAAAAAAAAAAAAAAAAAAAGGUAAUACGAAACAUGCUGGAGAAAGAUGUCAUAAAUAUACAAAAUAUUUAUGUGGUAUAGACCACCCGAAGUCAGGGGCAGCAGAAACCCUCUGCCCCCAGUGGCAGAAAGCACGGCGCUUCAUUUGACCAGAGUCACAUCAGCAACUUGUUCAGCAAAAAAGAGACCUCCCAACUCUGCACAUCUGCAGAAACUCAGAUGGGUUUGGUUUUUCAUACUGUAGUCAGGGUUAAUGAAGAGGCUACUCUACCUCAUUCAAGCCUAGAAUUUUCACUGUCUCCCUCUCACCAGCGGGGCCAAAUACUAAACUGUCUCAGGCAAGAUUCCAUAGGAACUGCAGCCUUUCUCGCACCAAAUUUCAGCAAAGAUAAAGGGGACCCUCACCUUCCAUUCCCAAAGCGUGAUUAUGUAU